UACAACCUAAGAUAACGAUCCCUUUGAAUUUAGUUUAGUUUGUAAAUUUUAUUGAAUCCUUCAGUUGUAAGUAGGAGAGAGUGGGAGAUGAGUAUUAACAAGAUGUUUCAUGUUUGUUCUUAGUUUUAGAAAUACAGACAAAAAAUUUUACUUGUUUGUAACCAUGAAGAAUGAAAGAGGAGGAAAGAUGAAAAUUUUUGGUAAAUCAAAUGGCAUCGAUUUGGAAAAGAAAAUUAGUUGAUUUGUUCUACUUUAGAUUAAAAUUAUUUAAUAUACAAUAUAUAAAAACAGAAUCUAGAUUAGUAAAAAGGAAUCAAAAUCGAUCAGAUUCAUUUAAUUAUUAUCAAAAAGAAAGGAAAACAAGUUGCAAAAAAAAAAAAAGAAAGGAAAACAAAGAAAUAAAAACAUAGGUUUCGAAUCCGGACUCAUGAGACAAAAUAAAAGAACACAAGCCACUGAACCUAAGAGAACCUUUAGAGUUUGGCAUCCUUAGACCAUCUUUAACCCAGGUUAUAAGUGGGUUUCUUAACCUUGGGGUCCCACAAAAACAACAAAAAUCGAUAACAGAAGUGAUGAAUUAAGGAUCGGUAAUGGGCUGUUUUCUGCACUGUUUGCGGGCUCCACCAACACAUGGCGGCCCGCAAUUGGAUUGAAUUAUAAUUUUAUUUUUUUUUUUUAGAAAAAAAGUCAAAAACUAAGAAACUUUAAAACGCAUUUAGCGUUAAAGAUGCUCUUAGAAAAUACAUAUUUUUGGCGCCUAAAGCUCUGGCUUUACGGGCUUUAGGCAAGGGCCGGGUAUGCUGACACGGAGUGUUGGACGCAAAGACACCGGAGAAAAGAGGAGAUCCCAUCACAUCGUAAGACGACACUGCCAAUACAGAUCAGUGAACUCGAACCUAGCUACCCCUAACAGCCCGUAGCCC
RNAcentral lists this long non-coding RNA (923 nucleotides) under Brassica rapa (field mustard). Its description in RNAcentral is "long non-coding RNA (BRAP_LNC006720)". Lineage: Eukaryota; Viridiplantae; Streptophyta; Magnoliopsida; Brassicales; Brassicaceae. The record is from RNAcentral.